GGAGUUGGAAGUCAUCAUCAAAGUUUGGAUGUCUUUAAACAAUUGGUUAAUUGAGUUUAGGGCUUGACACAUCCUAACCAUAACCAUAUCCUUGUCACGCUUUUCGGAUCCAUUAUGCUGAGGUAUUCGAGGUGAUGGCCCUAUUCUUCGGGCUCGGCAUGAGGUUGAUUAAUUAUGGAAUUUCACGCAACAGAAACCCACCAAAAACUCCAGAAAACACAAAAAAAAGAAGUUAAAUAAAGCCGCUGGAAAAGAAAGCGUUGAGCGGGAGAACCAGAAAAC
RNAcentral lists this small RNA (282 nucleotides) under Drosophila ananassae. Its description in RNAcentral is "GF26405". Lineage: Eukaryota; Metazoa; Arthropoda; Insecta; Diptera; Drosophilidae. The record is from RNAcentral.